GUGAGGAAUAUUGGUCAAUGGGCGAAAGCCUGAACCAGCCAUGUCGCGUGAAGGAUGAAGGUCCUAUGGAUUGUAAACUUCUUUUGCAGGAGGGUAAAGUGAGCUACGUGUAGUUCAUUGCAAGUACCCUGCGAAUAAGCAUCGGCUAACUCCGUGCCAGCAGCCGCGGUAAUACGGAGGAUGCGAGCGUUAUCCGGAUUUAUUGGGUUUAAAGGGUGCGUAGGCGGACUAAUUAGUCAGCGGUGAAAUUUUGCGGCUCAACCGUAAAACUGCCGUUGAAACUGUUAGUCUUGAGUGCGGUAGAGGUAGGCGGAAUGUGUGGGGUAGCGGUGAAAUGCUUAGAUAUCACACAGAACACCGAUUGCGUAGGCAGCUUACUGGAGCGCAACUGACGCUCAGGCACGAAAGAGUGGGGAUCGAACAGGAUUAGAAACCCCAGUAGUCC
This 445-nucleotide ribosomal RNA is filed under the name uncultured bacterium. RNAcentral's name for it is "partial 16S ribosomal RNA". It matches the Rfam family "Bacterial small subunit ribosomal RNA", at positions 354 to 796 of the family's 1533-position model. The record is from RNAcentral.